CAAUAGCGUAUAUUAAAGUUGUUGCAGUUAAAAAGCUCGUAGUUGGAUUUCGGGGCAGCCUGGCUGGUCCGCCGCAAGGCGAGUACUGGUCAGCCGCCCUUCCUCUCGAAAGCCCCGACUGCUCUUUAUUGCAGUGGUCGGGUAGUUCGGGACGUUUACUUUGAAAAAAUUAGAGUGUUCAAGGCAGGCCUACGCCUGAAUACAUUAGCAUGGAAUAAUGGAAGAGGACCUCGGUCCUAUUUUGUUGGUUUCCAGGACCGAAGUAAUGAUUAAGAGGGACAGUUGGGGGCAUUCGUAUUUAAUUGUCAGAGGCGAAAUUCUCGGAUUUAUGAAAGACGAACAACUGCGAAAGCAUUUGCCAAGGAUGUUUUCAUUAA
This 377-nucleotide ribosomal RNA is filed under the name uncultured eukaryote. RNAcentral describes it as "partial 18S ribosomal RNA". It matches the Rfam family "Eukaryotic small subunit ribosomal RNA", at positions 592 to 976 of the family's 1831-position model. The record is from RNAcentral.